Long non-coding RNA from Phyllostomus hastatus (greater spear-nosed bat), 1426 nucleotides. RefSeq lists it as uncharacterized. The record is from RefSeq and is a predicted model, not a curated record. Lineage: Eukaryota; Metazoa; Chordata; Mammalia; Chiroptera; Phyllostomidae. The transcript is spliced from 3 exons.
GGCAUGACCAGGCAAAGGUCUCAAAGCUUCAUUCUAGUGGGAGGACAUUCCAGCUACCUACUGCUGUGUAACAGAACACCAGCACUUCGACUGCAAACAGAAGGAUGUAUCAGAUCCCACAGUUCUCUGUCAGUGGUCCUCCGCCCAGAAGCAUGGACUUCCUCCCUGCAAGCUGGGGUUCACACUUGUUACCUGGCAGCCAGCCCCCGAGAAUAAAACUGGAAGCUGACCUGACAAGCCUCCCCAACGUGAAGCCCAGAACUGCACAGCGUCUUUCUACUGAAUCUGGUCAGUGAGAGCCAGUGAUGAGAAGCCGUAGGCCAGUCCAGACUCAGUGGAAGGAGAAACAGGCUCCACCUCGUGACUGGUGAGCUGGCUGUGAGUACAGCGAGAAGGAAUUGACGGCGGCUAUUUUUGGAGACUGUCAACUACAGAGGAGGGAGACAACAUAUGUAUAUAUGGACAAAUAAACAGUGAAGUACCAGACAGUAAUAAAAGCUGCCAGAGAACUGAAACAGGGUGUUUCGAUAGAGAACCACUCAGUAGCUCCUGUAGAUUGAGGGGAUUGUCAAAGAAGCUGUAUUUAAAUCACAAUUUGAAAGGCAAGAAGUGAUAGCCAUGUGAGGAUCCAGGCAGAAGGAAGAAUUAGCAAAAAGCUCUAACUGGGAGGGAGCCGGGCUUGUGUACAGAAUAGAAAGAAGGACCAGGUGUUAGGAGCGCGGACAGUGACAGAGUGCAGUUGGAAAUGAGGUCAGACAAUAGGAAGGACCAGAUCAAGUGCACUGUGGUAAGGAGGUUAGAUUUUAUUCCAAGAGCAGUCAGUGAAAAGCCAUUGAAGGUUUUAAACAGAGGAGGGACGUGGGACAACUUACAUCACUAACAGGUCACUCUGGCUGCCAUGUGGGGAACAGCCUGUGAAGUACAGAAGCCAGGCUGGUGAGGGCGCUACUGCAGGAGCCUGGACCAAGAGAUGGUGGCUUGUUUGGCUGCUGGCUGUUGGGAGGAGAAGCUGAAGCUGACUGUAGGUGCCUUGAGGACUGGAACCCAGUGCCUGGCUCCAUAAGUGAAGAAAGUGAGAAAUUUAAGAGAGCUGAUGCCACCACGUUUGUCAUGAUUUGCCCUGGGGGUGUGAAACCUGUGUAAGAUCAAAUCACAGCAGGAAGAUGGAUUUGAUAGGUGGUCCCUUUACCGAGUUCCUUCCUUCUCCUGAGCUGAUUCUAGGAGGCCAACCUCAUCCCUUCACAGGCCUUGCCAGCCUCCCACAGCAAGUACUUAUUUUCCCUUGAGCUCAGAAUUCUCCAGGAAGGGUCUGGCCUCUGCACACACCAAGUAUAAACAUCAUUGUUGAUGGAAAUCAGGAAAAUCUGAAAAGCCCACUUCAGCCAACACGAAGGUCACUGUGAUGUUUCAAGGUAAAUAAACUACA